GACCUGAGACUCAUUCAGACCUGGGGACAUCAGGUAGAGAGACUCAUUCAGACCUGGGGACAUCAGGUAGGAAGAGAAAGCAGAAAUGUUUUGGCCCUCAGGACCUGAAUAAUACUUUGACAUUGAAACACAACAGCUAUACAUAACUAGGUGAAAGCAGACCUGACGCAACACACACACACACACAAUAAGCACACGCACACACACACACACACACACACACACACACACAAUAAGCACACUGUGGUAAGACUGUUUUGGGUUGCAUUUUGUCUGCAUUUAGCCAAUCUGUAACAAUCAGAAGAAUAAAAUACACAUCCAAACAUCUUGACCUUUCAACAAACAGCAAGAUGGAAAUGAACCUUGUGAAGGAAACAGCAACAUAAAGUGUUUUAAUAGGAGGUAACUGGCAGAAUAAAGGAAACUCCAACAGUGUUUUAAUAGGAGGUCGGGUCGUCCACCAGGUAACUGGCAGAAUAAAGGAAACUCCAACAGUGUUUUA
This is a non-coding RNA of Salmo salar (Atlantic salmon), 502 nucleotides long. NCBI's taxonomy places the organism in Eukaryota, Metazoa, Chordata, Actinopteri, Salmoniformes, Salmonidae. The record is from RefSeq and is a predicted model, not a curated record.